This 1837-nucleotide ribosomal RNA is filed under the name Escherichia coli. RNAcentral describes it as "bacterial LSU rRNA". It matches the Rfam family "Bacterial large subunit ribosomal RNA", at positions 1109 to 2925 of the family's 2925-position model. Lineage: Bacteria; Pseudomonadati; Pseudomonadota; Gammaproteobacteria; Enterobacterales; Enterobacteriaceae. The record is from RNAcentral.
GAAGCAGCCAUCAUUUAAAGAAAGCGUAAUAGCUCACUGGUCGAGUCGGCCUGCGCGGAAGAUGUAACGGGGCUAAACCAUGCACCGAAGCUGCGGCAGCGACGCUGAUGCGUUGUUGGGUAGGGGAGCGUUCUGUAAGCCUGCGAAGGUGUGCUGUGAGGCAUGCUGGAGGUAUCAGAAGUGCGAAUGCUGACAUAAGUAACGAUAAAGCGGGUGAAAAGCCCGCUCACCGGAAGACCAAGGGUUCCUGUCCAACGUUAAUCGGGGCAGGGUGAGUCGACCCCUAAGGCGAGGCCGAAAGGCGUAGUCGAUGGGAAACAGGUUAAUAUUCCUGUACUUGGUGUUACUGCGAAGGGGGGACGGAGAAGGCUAUGUUGGCCGGGCGACGGUUGUCCCGGUUUAAGCAUGUAGGCUGGUUUUCCAGGCAAAUCCGGAAAAUCAAGGCUGAGGCGUGAUGACGAGGCACUACGGUGCUGAAGCAACAAAUGCCCUGCUUCCAGGAAAAGCCUCUAAGCAUCAGGUAACAUCAAAUCGUACCCCAAACCGACACAGGUGGUCAGGUAGAGAAUACCAAGGCGCUUGAGAGAACUCGGGUGAAGGAACUAGGCAAAAUGGUGCCGUAACUUCGGGAGAAGGCACGCUGAUAUGUAGGUGAGGUCCCUCGCGGAUGGAGCUGAAAUCAGUCGAAGAUACCAGCUGGCUGCAACUGUUUAUUAAAAACACAGCACUGUGCAAACACGAAAGUGGACGUAUACGGUGUGACGCCUGCCCGGUGCCGGAAGGUUAAUUGAUGGGGUUAGCGCAAGCGAAGCUCUUGAUCGAAGCCCCGGUAAACGGCGGCCGUAACUAUAACGGUCCUAAGGUAGCGAAAUUCCUUGUCGGGUAAGUUCCGACCUGCACGAAUGGCGUAAUGAUGGCCAGGCUGUCUCCACCCGAGACUCAGUGAAAUUGAACUCGCUGUGAAGAUGCAGUGUACCCGCGGCAAGACGGAAAGACCCCGUGAACCUUUACUAUAGCUUGACACUGAACAUUGAGCCUUGAUGUGUAGGAUAGGUGGGAGGCUUUGAAGUGUGGACGCCAGUCUGCAUGGAGCCGACCUUGAAAUACCACCCUUUAAUGUUUGAUGUUCUAACGUUGACCCGUAAUCCGGGUUGCGGACAGUGUCUGGUGGGUAGUUUGACUGGGGCGGUCUCCUCCUAAAGAGUAACGGAGGAGCACGAAGGUUGGCUAAUCCUGGUCGGACAUCAGGAGGUUAGUGCAAUGGCAUAAGCCAGCUUGACUGCGAGCGUGACGGCGCGAGCAGGUGCGAAAGCAGGUCAUAGUGAUCCGGUGGUUCUGAAUGGAAGGGCCAUCGCUCAACGGAUAAAAGGUACUCCGGGGAUAACAGGCUGAUACCGCCCAAGAGUUCAUAUCGACGGCGGUGUUUGGCACCUCGAUGUCGGCUCAUCACAUCCUGGGGCUGAAGUAGGUCCCAAGGGUAUGGCUGUUCGCCAUUUAAAGUGGUACGCGAGCUGGGUUUAGAACGUCGUGAGACAGUUCGGUCCCUAUCUGCCGUGGGCGCUGGAGAACUGAGGGGGGCUGCUCCUAGUACGAGAGGACCGGAGUGGACGCAUCACUGGUGUUCGGGUUGUCAUGCCAAUGGCACUGCCCGGUAGCUAAAUGCGGAAGAGAUAAGUGCUGAAAGCAUCUAAGCACGAAACUUGCCCCGAGAUGAGUUCUCCCUGACUCCUUGAGAGUCCUGAAGGAACGUUGAAGACGACGACGUUGAUAGGCCGGGUGUGUAAGCGCAGCGAUGCGUUGAGCUAACCGGUACUAAUGAACCGUGAGGCUUAACCUU